GACUAUAAACAAAUUUAUUGAUGGAAAAUCUCUCGUCCGAUCACUGAAGUUAAGCAACGUCGAGCGUGGAUAGUACUUGGAUGGGUGACCGCUUGGGAACACCACGUAACGUUGGCU
This 117-nucleotide ribosomal RNA is filed under the name Diaphorina citri (Asian citrus psyllid). Lineage: Eukaryota; Metazoa; Arthropoda; Insecta; Hemiptera; Psyllidae. The record is from RNAcentral.